RNAcentral lists this ribosomal RNA (504 nucleotides) under uncultured bacterium. RNAcentral's name for it is "partial 16S ribosomal RNA". It matches the Rfam family "Bacterial small subunit ribosomal RNA", at positions 28 to 523 of the family's 1533-position model. The record is from RNAcentral.
GUUGAACGCUGGCGGCAGGCCUAACACAUGCAAGUCGAACGGUAGCACAGAGAGCUUGCUCCUGGGUGACGAGUGGCGGACAGGUGAGUAACGUCUGGGAAACUGCCCGAUGGAGGGGGAUAACUACUGGAAACGGUAGCUAAUACCGCAUAACGUCGCAAGACCAAAGAGGGGGACCUUCGGGGCUCUCACUAUCGGAUGAACCCAGAUGGGAUUAGCUAGGAGGCGGGGUAACGGCCCACCCAGGCCACGAUCCCUAGCUGGUCUGAGAGGAUGACCAGCCACACUGGAACUGAGACACGGUCCAGACUCCUACGGGAGGCAGCAGUGGGGAAUAUUGCACAAUGGGCGCAAGCCUUAAGCAGCCAUGCCGCGUGUAUGAAGAAGGCCUUCGGGUUGUAAAGUACUUUCAGCGGGGAGGAAGGCGAUGUGGUUAAUAACCGCGUCGAUUGACGUUACCCGCAGAAGAAGCACCGGCUAACUACGUGCCAGCAGCCGCAGUAA